UUCUCGUUAUUCAUCCGGUGAAGCAGAGG
Molecule: non-coding RNA, 29 nt
Filed under: Drosophila melanogaster (fruit fly)
Lineage: Eukaryota; Metazoa; Arthropoda; Insecta; Diptera; Drosophilidae
Source: RNAcentral